Molecule: ribosomal RNA, 497 nt
Filed under: uncultured bacterium
Lineage: Bacteria
Description: partial 16S ribosomal RNA
Rfam family: Bacterial small subunit ribosomal RNA
Source: RNAcentral
GAUGAACGCUGGCGGCGUGCCUAAUACAUGCAAGUCGAGCGAACAGACGAGGAGCUUGCUCCUCUGACGUUAGCGGCGGACGGGUGAGUAACACGUGGAUAACCUACCUAUAAGACUGGGAUAACUUCGGGAAACCGGAGCUAAUACCGGAUAAUAUAUUGAACCGCAUGGUUCAAUAGUGAAAGACGGUUUUGCUGUCACUUAUAGAUGGAUCCGCGCCGCAUUAGCUAGUUGGUAAGGUAACGGCUUACCAAGGCAACGAUGCGUAGCCGACCUGAGAGGGUGAUCGGCCACACUGGAACUGAGACACGGUCCAGACUCCUACGGGAGGCAGCAGUAGGGAAUCUUCCGCAAUGGGCGAAAGCCUGACGGAGCAACGCCGCGUGAGUGAUGAAGGUCUUCGGAUCGUAAAACUCUGUUAUUAGGGAAGAACAAAUGUGUAAGUAACUAUGCACGUCUUGACGGUAGCUAAACAGAAAGCCACGGCUAACUACGUG